UGCCCUCCGUCUCUUCGGUCCCAGCCUGCCACGAUGAGAUGCGCCGACAGCUCGUCCCUGUAGAGAUACGAGUAGUUCUUCACCAUGGUGGCGGCGGCGCCGACCCGGGGAUCCUCCCCGAUCUCUGCACUGCCCAGAACAAAGGCGUAUCUGGUGCCGUAGCAGCUCAGCAAUGGCCUGUGCGUCCGCCGCCGAGCCCGACAAAGCACAGUAGAUCUUUUGGUGGAGAGGGUACAGCUUGUUCAUCACCGGGUUCACCACUGCAUCCCUUGGGAGGUGCCUGAUCUGGUGACAACAGGAGGUGGUGUGACCCCAGGAUACAGAGACAGGAGGCGACGUGCUGUGCCUUAUCUGGUGAGAGGAGGCCCUAAGGAACGGCAGGAGGCGGCGUGACCCCAGGAUGCAGAGACAGGAGACGACAUGCUGUGCCUGAUCUGGUGAGAGGAGGCCCUAAAGAACGGCAGGAGGCGGCGUGACCCCAGGAUGCAGAGACAGGAGGCGACGUGCUGGAACUGAAUCUGACACUGACAAAUAAAACCCUCGGGAUUAGUGAUCUGAAGGAACAAAAUUAAGAACACUACACAGGGAGAAACACUAAGUACAGGAAAAAAACAACACAAAAACGGUCACCCAGAUCAUGACAGAUAGAUUAGUUCUCAGUUUAUUUUGAGUAUCCCCACCCCAUUACAAAAGUAAUUCACACUUUUUCAUGUGAAAUGAUUCAUUUAUUUUUUUUAUCAAAUUAUAAUCUAAUUUAAAGCUUUUUUUUUACUAAAACGAAUUCCUAGGAAAUACUUGGUUUAAUUUUACUGCUAGUUAGUCGGCCGAGCAAUAACACCGUGCGCCACACCAAGAAGUGUGUAAAUGUGACCUUAUAUUCUUAUCAAAGAUGAAGCGGGAAGGGGCUAAAAAAUAAGUAAACAGUAAAAAAAAAAAGAUGUGUCAUUCAUUAAUUGACAUUUUACAUGUGCUUUUUCACACAAAACGUGCCCUCUCCCAUCACAGUGCCUGAUCUAAGGAACGGCGUGACCCCAGGAUGCAGAGACAGGAGGCGACGUGCUGUGCCUGAUCUGGUGAGAGGAGGCCCUAAGGAAUGUCAGGAGGCGGCGUGACCCCAGGAUGCAGAGACAGGAGGCGAUGUGCUGGCAGAUGGCCGUCCCACCCUGAGGUUCCCUCCAGUAUUUUGGAUCCUCUGCUGUGAUUUUGCUCAUCCAGUCCUGUUUGGCUUCAGUUUUCCUGCUGUUGCUGUCAUAGUGAGAAAUCUGAACUCCAUCAACAUAACCAACACUCACAAACUUUGGAAAGUUUGGAAUUUGAGAGGAUGCAGUGUGGAAAUAAUUCAGUGUGUGAAUCACUGAAAGAAGAACAAAACAAGAAACAUUUUUAUUAUUUUGUUUUAUGUUCAACCAUCUUGCACUGUGAAUAUUUUAGGUCAUUCAGUCUUCAGUCGGGUCUUGAAACACUGCUAGAUAUCACAGUCACACUCACAUGGUGUUCUAUGACAAAUACAACACAUUAAUAACAUGAAUCAUCUUUUUUACUGGCCAUAUGUUGACAAUUUGUACAUUUUGAAAAUAAAUUGAUUUUUUUCCACUAUGUAGGUUGAAAAAUUUCUCGUACAACAAAGUUUAACACAACCUGUUCUGACCAUUUGAUGUCAACUCUUACUGACAUCCUGUGGCGAGAUGAUGUUCCAUCCAUCU
This is a long non-coding RNA of Entelurus aequoreus (snake pipefish), 1703 nucleotides long. RefSeq lists it as uncharacterized. Lineage: Eukaryota; Metazoa; Chordata; Actinopteri; Syngnathiformes; Syngnathidae. The transcript is spliced from 8 exons. The record is from RefSeq and is a predicted model, not a curated record.